UUAAGCGACUAAGCGUACACGGUGGAUGCCCUGGCAGUCAGAGGCGAUGAAGGACGUGCUAAUCUGCGAUAAGCGUCGGUAAGGUGAUAUGAACCGUUAUAACCGGCGAUUUCCGAAUGGGGAAACCCAGUGUGUUUCGACACACUAUCAUUAACUGAAUCCAUAGGUUAAUGAGGCGAACCGGGGGAACUGAAACAUCUAAGUACCCCGAGGAAAAGAAAUCAACCGAGAUUCCCCCAGUAGCGGCGAGCGAACGGGGAGGAGCCCAGAGCCUGAAUCAGUGUGUGUGUUAGUGGAAGCGUCUGGAAAGGCGCGCGAUACAGGGUGACAGCCCCGUACACAAAAAUGCACAUAUUGUGAGCUCGAUGAGUAGGGCGGGACACGUGGUAUCCUGUCUGAAUAUGGGGGGACCAUCCUCCAAGGCUAAAUACUCCUGACUGACCGAUAGUGAACCAGUACCGUGAGGGAAAGGCGAAAAGAACCCCGGCGAGGGGAGUGAAAAAGAACCUGAAACCGUGUACGUACAAGCAGUGGGAGCCUCUUUUAUGGGGUGACUGCGUACCUUUUGUAUAAUGGGUCAGCGACUUAUAUUCUGUAGCAAGGUUAACCGAAUAGGGGAGCCGAAGGGAAACCGAGUCUUAACUGGGCGUUAAGUUGCAGGGUAUAGACCCGAAACCCGGUGAUCUAGCCAUGGGCAGGUUGAAGGUUGGGUAACACUAACUGGAGGACCGAACCGACUAAUGUUGAAAAAUUAGCGGAUGACUUGUGGCUGGGGGUGAAAGGCCAAUCAAACCGGGAGAUAGCUGGUUCUCCCCGAAAGCUAUUUAGGUAGCGCCUCGUGAAUUCAUCUCCGGGGGUAGAGCACUGUUUCGGCAAGGGGGUCAUCCCGACUUACCAACCCGAUGCAAACUGCGAAUACCGGAGAAUGUUAUCACGGGAGACACACGGCGGGUGCUAACGUCCGUCGUGAAGAGGGAAACAACCCAGACCGCCAGCUAAGGUCCCAAAGUCAUGGUUAAGUGGGAAACGAUGUGGGAAGGCCCAGACAGCCAGGAUGUUGGCUUAGAAGCAGCCAUCAUUUAAAGAAAGCGUAAUAGCUCACUGGUCGAGUCGGCCUGCGCGGAAGAUGUAACGGGGCUAAACCAUGCACCGAAGCUGCGGCAGCGACACUAUGUGUUGUUGGGUAGGGGAGCGUUCUGUAAGCCUGUGAAGGUGUACUGUGAGGUAUGCUGGAGGUAUCAGAAGUGCGAAUGCUGACAUAAGUAACGAUAAAGCGGGUGAAAAGCCCGCUCGCCGGAAGACCAAGGGUUCCUGUCCAACGUUAAUCGGGGCAGGGUGAGUCGACCCCUAAGGCGAGGCCGAAAGGCGUAGUCGAUGGGAAACAGGUUAAUAUUCCUGUACUUGGUGUUACUGCGAAGGGGGGACGGAGAAGGCUAUGUUGGCCGGGCGACGGUUGUCCCGGUUUAAGCGUGUAGGCUGGUUUUCCAGGCAAAUCCGGAAAAUCAAGGCUGAGGCGUGAUGACGAGGCACUACGGUGCUGAAGCAACAAAUGCCCUGCUUCCAGGAAAAGCCUCUAAGCAUCAGGUAACAUCAAAUCGUACCCCAAACCGACACAGGUGGUCAGGUAGAGAAUACCAAGGCGCUUGAGAGAACUCGGGUGAAGGAACUAGGCAAAAUGGUGCCGUAACUUCGGGAGAAGGCACGCUGAUAUGUAGGUGAAGUCCCUCGCGGAUGGAGCUGAAAUCAGUCGAAGAUACCAGCUGGCUGCAACUGUUUAUUAAAAACACAGCACUGUGCAAACACGAAAGUGGACGUAUACGGUGUGACGCCUGCCCGGUGCCGGAAGGUUAAUUGAUGGGGUCAGCGCAAGCGAAGCUCUUGAUCGAAGCCCCGGUAAACGGCGGCCGUAACUAUAACGGUCCUAAGGUAGCGAAAUUCCUUGUCGGGUAAGUUCCGACCUGCACGAAUGGCGUAAUGAUGGCCAGGCUGUCUCCACCCGAGACUCAGUGAAAUUGAACUCGCUGUGAAGAUGCAGUGUACCCGCGGCAAGACGGAAAGACCCCGUGAACCUUUACUAUAGCUUGACACUGAACAUUGAGCCUUGAUGUGUAGGAUAGGUGGGAGGCUUUGAAGUGUGGACGCCAGUCUGCAUGGAGCCGACCUUGAAAUACCACCCUUUAAUGUUUGAUGUUCUAACGUGGACCCGUAAUCCGGGUUGCGGACAGUGUCUGGUGGGUAGUUUGACUGGGGCGGUCUCCUCCUAAAGAGUAACGGAGGAGCACGAAGGUUGGCUAAUCCUGGUCGGACAUCAGGAGGUUAGUGCAAUGGCAUAAGCCAGCUUGACUGCGAGCGUGACGGCGCGAGCAGGUGCGAAAGCAGGUCAUAGUGAUCCGGUGGUUCUGAAUGGAAGGGCCAUCGCUCAACGGAUAAAAGGUACUCCGGGGAUAACAGGCUGAUACCGCCCAAGAGUUCAUAUCGACGGCGGUGUUUGGCACCUCGAUGUCGGCUCAUCACAUCCUGGGGCUGAAGUAGGUCCCAAGGGUAUGGCUGUUCGCCAUUUAAAGUGGUACGCGAGCUGGGUUUAGAACGUCGUGAGACAGUUCGGUCCCUAUCUGCCGUGGGCGCUGGAGAAUUGAGGGGGGCUGCUCCUAGUACGAGAGGACCGGAGUGGACGCAUCACUGGUGUUCGGGUUGUCAUGCCAAUGGCACUGCCCGGUAGCUAAAUGCGGAAGAGAUAAGUGCUGAAAGCAUCUAAGCACGAAACUUGCCCCGAGAUGAGUUCUCCCUGACCCUUUAAGGGUCCUGAAGGAACGUUGAAGACGACGACGUUGAUAGGCCGGGUGUGUAAGCGCAGCGAUGCGUUGAGCUAACCGGUACUAAUGAACCGUGAGGCUUAACCUU
Molecule: ribosomal RNA, 2901 nt
Filed under: Escherichia coli
Lineage: Bacteria; Pseudomonadati; Pseudomonadota; Gammaproteobacteria; Enterobacterales; Enterobacteriaceae
Description: bacterial LSU rRNA
Rfam family: Bacterial large subunit ribosomal RNA
Source: RNAcentral